RNAcentral lists this ribosomal RNA (371 nucleotides) under uncultured organism. RNAcentral describes it as "bacterial SSU rRNA". It matches the Rfam family "Bacterial small subunit ribosomal RNA", at positions 527 to 896 of the family's 1533-position model. The record is from RNAcentral.
CGGGGGGGCAAGCGUUGUUCGGAAUUACUGGGCGUAAAGGGUUCGUAGGUGGCCAACUAAGUCAGACGUGAAAUCCCUCGGCUCAACCGGGGAACUGCGUCUGAUACUGGUUGGCUCGAGUGCAGGAGAGGAACGCGGAAUUCCAGGUGUAGCGGUGAAAUGCGUAGAUAUCUGGAGGAACACCGGUGGCGAAGGCGGCGUUCUGGACUGCAACUGACACUGAGGAACGAAAGCCAGGGGAGCAAACGGGAUUAGAUACCCCGGUAGUCCUGGCCCUAAACGAUGAAUGCUUGGUGUGGCGGGUAUCGAUCCCUGCCGUGCCGAAGUUAACGCGAUAAGCAUUCCGCCUGGGGAGUACGGUCGCAAGGCUG